AUUGAACGCUGGCGGCAGGCCUAACACAUGCAAGUCGAACGGUAACAGAAAGCAGCUUGCUGCUUUGCUGACGAGUGGCGGACGGGUGAGUAAUGUCUGGGAAACUGCCUGAUGGAGGGGGAUAACUACUGGAAACGGUAGCUAAUACCGCAUAACGUCGCAAGACCAAAGAGGGGGACCUUCGGGCCUCUUGCCAUCGGAUGAGCCCAGAUGGGAUUAGCUAGUAGGUGGGGUAAAGGCUCACCUAGGCGACGAUCCCUAGCUGGUCUGAGAGGAUGACCAGCAACACUGGAACUGAGACACGGUCCAGACUCCUACGGGAGGCAGCAGUGGGGAAUAUUGCACAAUGGGCGCAAGCCUGAUGCAGCCAUGCCGCGUGUAUGAAGAAGGCCUUCGGGUUGUAAAGUACUUUCAGCGGGGAGGAAGGGAGUAAAGUUAAUACCUUUGCUCAUUGACGUUACCCGCAGAAGAAGCACCGGCUAACUCCGUG
This 490-nucleotide ribosomal RNA is filed under the name uncultured bacterium. RNAcentral's name for it is "partial 16S ribosomal RNA". It matches the Rfam family "Bacterial small subunit ribosomal RNA", at positions 30 to 507 of the family's 1533-position model. The record is from RNAcentral.